This 294-nucleotide ribosomal RNA is filed under the name uncultured Rhizophagus. RNAcentral describes it as "partial small subunit ribosomal RNA". It matches the Rfam family "Eukaryotic small subunit ribosomal RNA", at positions 17 to 308 of the family's 1831-position model. The record is from RNAcentral. Lineage: Eukaryota; Fungi; Glomeromycota; Glomeromycetes; Glomerales; Glomeraceae.
CCAGUAGUCAUAUGCUUGUCUCAAAGAUUAAGCCAUGCAUGUCUAAGUAUAAAUCGUUUAUACAGGUGAAACUGCGAAUGGCUCAUUAAAUCAGUUAUAAUUUAUUUGAUAGUACCUUACUACUUGGAUAACCGUGGUAAUUCUAGAGCUAAUACAUGCUAAAACCUCUGACUUCUGGAAGGGGGUGUAUUUAUUAGAUAAAAAACCAAUAUCGGGAAACCGAUUCCAUUGGUGAUUCAUGAUAACUUUUCGAAUCGUACGACUUUACGUCGACGAUGAAUCAUUCAAAUUUCU